This 69-nucleotide transfer RNA is filed under the name Coccinella transversoguttata. RNAcentral describes it as "tRNA-Gln". Lineage: Eukaryota; Metazoa; Arthropoda; Insecta; Coleoptera; Coccinellidae. The record is from RNAcentral.
UUAUAUUCAAUACUAUUUAAUUAUUUCUUUAAGUUUCAAAAACUUACGUACAUCUUAUACUAGAAUAUA